RNAcentral lists this long non-coding RNA (1674 nucleotides) under Lupinus angustifolius (narrow-leaved blue lupine). RNAcentral's name for it is "long non-coding RNA (LANG_LNC002363)". The record is from RNAcentral. Lineage: Eukaryota; Viridiplantae; Streptophyta; Magnoliopsida; Fabales; Fabaceae.
AUAUUUUCUAUAAGUAACAAAGCUUCUCUUCUAGUUUCAGCUAUUCCAGUUUUAAAUGGCCAUUGGUCUCUUUGCCAUUACCUAUCUCAGUGUCUAAUCUAAUGCAAAUGAGUCUCUCUUCAUAGAUCAUAGAUCCAAUCUCAAACUCAAAACCGAACUCUUUCCUAUAUAUAUAUAACUAACUAGUACAACUAAAAUUGGCUAUAUAUUGCUGUUACACAAAUACGUGCACCUCUUUCUUUGCUUUCUAACGUUCUUGAUAAAAUUCUACAUGUAUUUCCAAAUGUCAUAAACAAAAUUAUCCCAAAUCAAAGUCAACUUAAUAAAUAAUAAAAAUAUUUGAAAAUUUUAUAUUAUGAAUUGUCACUGGAUAAUCAAAUGAUGAUCUAUAAUUGGUUAAUUUGUUAGACAAAAUAUAAAAACAUAUUCAUUUUUUCUUUUGACUUUUCAAUAUUUUAUCAUCUUUUAGGAUAGGAGUAUAUAUAUAAAAAUUGAGAAUAUUUGAAUGACAAAUUCCAUGAAAUUAUUAUAUCAUCAAUUUAAAUCGUUAAAAUUUCUUUAAUUUGUUCUCAUUAUAGGAAUUGGUAUUCCAUAAUUAGAGAUGUUUGACAACACAAAUAAGAAAAUAAUAAAAUAAUACAGCAUACAAUUUUUUACCAUCAUUUUUUAUCGAAAAAUACUUCACUCUAUUCCUUAAACCAUCCAUUAUAACCAUCGAACUAUCUUAUGAGUUAUCCAUCGACCAUUUAAUCUCACACCUACUAUAUGUAUAUAUUAUUUCCUCUCCAUAUUAAAAUUACUUUGAGUCUAUUCAUUUUUCAAAGAGAAUGGGAUAAGCUUUAGUUGGAGCUAAUAGAGUCGUUUGGUGAAAGAGUUGAAAUAAUAUAAUUCUUAUUUUUAUACUUACAUUUCUAUAUUUUGAGUGAGAGGUUAAAAGCGUGAUCAUAACUACUAAGGUUUUCCCUUUGGAUUUAGCUGCCUUCUAAUCCUUGAAGCAAUCAUGCAACUCUUGGAGUAUCAAUGUUUAGCACAACAAAGAUCAUCGAGCUCCAAGUGAUGGUGCAUAUAUGAUAUGUGGUAAGUAAUAUAAACCAUUUAAUUCCCAAAUACACAAUUCAUUUGUCUCGCAUUUUUCCCUUUAUGGGUGGCUCAUUUAUACAAGAUACCAUUAUAUCCAAGUAUGUUCACAUUGAUUUGCCCAUGAUUGCUUUUAUUGAUGAGAGUUCGGUUGUUUAGGUUUUAACUAAAGAGUAGAAGCUUAACCCGAGGGAGGUGGCAUGCGUGCAAUAAUUGCAUUCAUAUGGAAGUGGUGGCCCUGUGGGGAAGAAGAGCAUAGGCACAAAGUAAUGUACUCAUUAUUAGAAGAUUCAAAGGUGAUUGAGAUGUUAGUGGUGCACUUUAAGCGUUCCAUGUGCAAUAUUUGUCAUUGACUCUCAACUUUUGAACUGUAUUCUUAGUGGGGUGGAAGGAAAUGUUAAAGAGUGUCAUAUAGGCACUUGCUAAGAAAAUGUUAAAGAGUGUCAUAUAGGCACUUGCUAAGAAAAUUGAAGUAGAAAAUAUAUAUUGUAAAUGGUACAUUUAAGGUUUUAAAAAUUGAAGCAUUUUACUUUCUAAUGCAUAUUUUUUAUGUUUGAAAUUCUUAACAAGUGCUUUUAGGAUACUCUUUAGUAUGAC